Molecule: long non-coding RNA, 2918 nt
Filed under: Gallus gallus (chicken)
Lineage: Eukaryota; Metazoa; Chordata; Aves; Galliformes; Phasianidae
Description: long non-coding RNA NONGGAT008665
Source: RNAcentral
GCUACUUGAGCCUUGCUGUCGCUGGAUGAUGACAGACACCAUCACGCGUCACUCAGCGUAAGAUGGAAGCACAGCACUCGACAAGACAAAGGAGGGAUUUUGUUGCUUCUGUAGUCCCAGCAUCAGUCAUUAAGUGAUGCUUAGGAACUGCCCAAAGCACUGAUCUGCAGGGCUGUGCACUACAGCAGCCGUUUCUAGCACAGACCAGCACCCAGAAGAGCAGCAAGAAGAAUCAAACUGUUUGAACGCAAUAUAGUGGAACACAACUGUUCAAAUAAAACAAAGAGUCAAGGCUUCAGGAGAGAAUUCCAACUGAACACACGCAGUAACCAGCCUGACCCCAAAGUUCUUACGGAACUGUAAAAACUCUGACUCCAAAUUAUUUCCUGCAAAAAGCAGCUUUUGUUUUGACAGAUUUCAGUAGGUUUUUGUUUGAUUACUCCCCUUACAGUGCUACAGGGAUUACUCAGAAUUUUCUAGCCUUUCCCUAUGGAGAAGCCUCCAGGGAAGGAAUGAGAUCAGAAAGGAGAGCUGCUCCGUCUCACCCUGCUGCGCUCAGCCAGAGAGAGAACUCGGCUCAACCCAGCAGAGUGAGCAUUCCCUUAUGUUUCAACAUUGCUCUGUUUAUAAUCUGCAGGGUAAGUUUUCUCAGAAAAUUGUCUCCCUUUUCCUUUCACUAAAAACUGCCAUUUCUUCCUCCUCUGCCGUAUUCCUUUGUGAAAACCAAAUAGAAUGGUUUCACUGUCACCAUAUUACAGCAAGCUUGUUAAUGAAACAAAUGAGUUCUGGGUAUAACCCUAUUAAAAUGAACUGCCCUCAGCCAGCCAUGCAGCCUGAUUCACCACGUACCUGUGUGACACCAGGAACAACUUUCUGCCAGGAGCUGGGCUGGGCUGUGUGACACGCCGCACUGUGGGGAAGGUGGAAUUACAACUCAUUUUACCAGCGCUUUGAGGACCUGACUUUAUUUACCCAUUUAAUAAGCAGGUGGCUUUGUGCUGUUGGGUGAGGUCUGUUGAAUCAGAACCCAACGCUGGUUCUAAUUAAGUGAAUGUGUAAAGGAUGACUCACAUGGAAGCUGCACUUUGCUACUCUUCCCUGGAAGAAAGAACAUGAGCAGUGCCUCACAUCUGAGGUUCAGCCUCUGGAAUUUUCAAUACAUCCCUACAGUAAACAUUUCACACUUGAUAUGUCGAGUUUGCUGUUUAUGCAUUCCAUUUAAAUAUAACAUUUGGAAUUUACAAACUAACUUAAAAACAACUCUGGAGCUACCUAAAAACAUGAAGACAAGAUUUAAGUCACUGACCAUUAAACAAAAUGUUUUAAUGCUACGCUACGGCAGUAUUAUUAAAACAUACCUACAUGAAACCUGUCCCUGGCCUUUCCAGCCUGACCAGAAGCCUAUAUCUGCCAGUGCUCCGUUCUCCUCAGCUUUACAGUGGUCCCUGAACCAUUGGGGACAAAGGAGAACCACAAAUGGAAACCAAUCCUAUGUCAAAAGCUGAAAGCAGCUGCAGGGAAAAUGUCACUCACAGCCAUGCCAAAAAGUUAGCACCUGUCGAAGAAAGGCUUUAAAGUUGAAAAUGGUAACUGAUAUUCUCUUUAAAACAAACAAUCAAAACAAAAAUAGACUCUAGCACUCCGAAAUGCAGAGUGGACAGUUAUUUAACCAUGUUCUGAACCGAUACUAUUACGGUGAGUCACACCAAAUUAGUGAUGGUAAAUGCCAUAGCAGCAAGCAAAACUGGCUGCUGGUAACAUGCACAGCAUAACCUGCAAGGGUUUAGUCUUUAUGCUGUAGGAUGGUGCUUUAUUAAAAAGGGAGAGCUGUUUUUUUUUAAUUUGAAGAGAAAUUACUGGAGGAGUGCUGCUACCAGUGAAGCCAGUGGGAGUUAUGAAAUUAAUUACUUGGAUGAGAAUUGUACCCAGCCUCAUUUAUCCCCUUUAAUUUUCAUUGAAGUAAAAUCUGGUCCUGAAUGGCACUAUGAACAAAAUAUAUGCCAAAGAAAGCAACCUGAAUUUUGUUUAUACUGAGGGUAGCAGCUUGUAACCCAUCUUUGUAAUUUAGAGUGGACACAAAGGAGGAUUUAAAGGACAGAACAAUGUCAGUAAGCAAGGAGAGAAGAUGUGGUGAACAACCUCAGCUGCACCUGAUGGUAAUUUUGGAUAAGUCUGAGCACCUGUCAGCGAGCAAGUUACAAAGUGCUGCGAGUGUUUGCAGCAGAGCUGCUCAGGGAGCGCACAGAAACCUGGCUCUGUCCUCAAGCCUGUGCUGCUGAACCUGGAGCAGCAGCUGUUAGACAAAACGUCCUCACAGAAAUGAAAACAGAUUUCUGCAGUCAGAUGAACAGCCAGAAUUCCCUCUCCACUGAGGCUCAUACAUUUGGAUAUGGACUCCUUUAUAUCCAUAAAGGACUGCAUGUUAGGAGCACCAGGAGUCACUCCGUGCAUUUCCAUCUGAACACGCUUCUAUCUGAAAGAACAGAUCUUCAUUCUUCCCGUUCAUCAAAUCAAGCCUGACUAUUCCUACAGGUUUUUUGUUAGCAUUGUCUCCCAGGAGAAUACAGCGGGUGCAGUUUGCUCUGUCAUUACACAGACAUCUGUCCCAGCAGGAGCAUUCGUGUCCAAUUACAGACGUUCAGUAAAAGGCAUUUCACUGGCAGAAGCAAAUUUUGGUAAGAAUCAGUGAUGUUUCAGUGUCUUUUAUCUUAUUAACCCCUACGUUUUUAGAGCAGAUCUUCCUGUUAUUUCAAAACAUUCAGAAUGGGUUCUGCUAACAGAUCUACAGUGAUCCAGCACUGGGUUUUACCUGCAGUUAGUGUUCCAUUAUACUUGUUCAGACAGUGUCCGCAUUAAAAGCAGCCAUCCAAACCCCAAAGUAAAGAAAAAAAAAAAGGCACAUAAACAUUAAAUAUUUG